RNAcentral lists this ribosomal RNA (254 nucleotides) under uncultured bacterium. Its description in RNAcentral is "partial 16S ribosomal RNA". It matches the Rfam family "Bacterial small subunit ribosomal RNA", at positions 524 to 776 of the family's 1533-position model. The record is from RNAcentral.
UACGGGGGGGGCAAGCGUUGUUCGGAUUUACUGGGCGUAAAGGGUGUGUAGGCGGUUGCGUAAGUCUGGUGUGAAAUCUUCAUCGGUCAACGGGAAGAGGUCACUGGAAACUGCGUAACUCGAGUGUAGUAGAGGCAAGCGGAAUUCCUGGCGUAGCGGUGGAAUGUGUAGAUAUCAGGAAGAACACCUGUGGCGAAAGCGGCUUGCUGGGCCAUUACUGACGCUGAGACACGAAAGCGUGGGGAGCAAACGGG